GGGUGGCGAGUGGCGGACGGGUGAGGAAUACAUCGGAAUCUACUUUUUCGUGGGGGAUAACGUAGGGAAACUUACGCUAAUACCGCAUACGACCUACGGGUGAAAGCAGGGGACCUUCGGGCCUUGCGCGAUUGAAUGAGCCGAUGUCGGAUUAGCUAGUUGGCGGGGUAAAGGCCCACCAAGGCGACGAUCCGUAGCUGGUCUGAGAGGAUGAUCAGCCACACUGGAACUGAGACACGGUCCAGACUCCUACGGGAGGCAGCAGUGGGGAAUAUUGGACAAUGGGCGCAAGCCUGAUCCAGCCAUACCGCGUGGGUGAAGAAGGCCUUCGGGUUGUAAAGCCCUUUUGUUGGGAAAGAAAUCCAGCCGGUUAAUACCUGGUUGGGAUGACGGUACCCAAAGAAUAAGCACCGGCUAACUUCGUGCCAGCAGCCGCGGUAAUACGAAGGGUGCAAGCGUUACUCGGAAUUACUGGGCGUAAAGCGUGCGUAGGUGGUCGUUUAAGUCUGUUGUGAAAGCCCUGGGCUCAACCUGGGAACUGCAGUGGAAACUGGACGACUAGAGUGUGGUAGAGGGUAGCGGAAUUCCUGGUGUAGCAGUGAAAUGCGUAGAGAUCAGGAGGAACAUCCAUGGCGAAGGCAGCUACCUGGACCAACACUGAC
RNAcentral lists this ribosomal RNA (662 nucleotides) under Stenotrophomonas sp. RNAcentral's name for it is "bacterial SSU rRNA". It matches the Rfam family "Bacterial small subunit ribosomal RNA", at positions 86 to 744 of the family's 1533-position model. The record is from RNAcentral. Lineage: Bacteria; Pseudomonadati; Pseudomonadota; Gammaproteobacteria; Lysobacterales; Lysobacteraceae.